RNAcentral lists this ribosomal RNA (301 nucleotides) under uncultured bacterium. RNAcentral describes it as "partial 16S ribosomal RNA". It matches the Rfam family "Bacterial small subunit ribosomal RNA", at positions 509 to 807 of the family's 1533-position model. The record is from RNAcentral.
CAGUCGCCGCGGUAAUACGAAGGGGGCUAGCGUUAAUCGGAAUUACUGGGCGUAAAGCGUGCGUAGGCGGUGAGUUAAGUCUGCUGUGAAAUCCACGGGCUCAACCUGGGAAUGGCAGUGGAUACUGGCUCGCUAGAGUGUGUCAGAGGAUGGUGGAAUUCCCGGUGUAGCGGUGAAAUGCGUAGAGAUCGGGAGGAACAUCAGUGGCGAAGGCGGCCAUCUGGGACAACACUGACGCUGAUGCACGAAAGCGUGGGGAGCAAACAGGAUUAGAUACCCCCGUAGUCCCUGUCUCUUAUAC